UACAGAGGUCUCAAGCGUUGUUCGGAUUCAUUGGGCGUAAAGGGUGCGUAGGCGGCGCGGUAAGCCGGGUGUGAAAUCUUGGAGCUUAACUCCGAAACUGCAUUCGAUACUGCCGUGCUUGAGGACUGGAGAGGAGACUGGAAUUUACGGUGUAGCGGUGAAAUGCGUAGAUAUCGUAAGGAAGACCAGUGGCGAAGGCGGGUCUCUGGACAGUUCCUGACGCUGAGGCACGAAGGCCAGGGGAGCAAACGGG
Molecule: ribosomal RNA, 253 nt
Filed under: uncultured bacterium
Lineage: Bacteria
Description: partial 16S ribosomal RNA
Rfam family: Bacterial small subunit ribosomal RNA
Source: RNAcentral